Brassica napus (rape) is the source of this 2577-nucleotide long non-coding RNA. RefSeq lists it as uncharacterized. NCBI's taxonomy places the organism in Eukaryota, Viridiplantae, Streptophyta, Magnoliopsida, Brassicales, Brassicaceae. The transcript has 6 exons. The record is from RefSeq and is a predicted model, not a curated record.
UUUUAAUUUUAGAUGGUUUUCUUUAUUUUGGAUAAAUUUUAUAAAUUGUUAUAUUCUUAAAUUAACAGAAAAGUUUUUUUACAGCUAUAACCGUUUUAUCCAAUUAUGUUUUGUUUUACAAAAGUACAACCAAUAAUUUACAGCUACAGUUAUGAUAACUACAACAAAAAUCUUCGCAGAAAAAUAUAUUUUAGUAAAUGUACAACUACAGCCAAUACACUUACAGUACAAAUUCUACAAUAAUUUUUUAACAGUUACAGUCCAACCAAUUACACCCAUUGAUUAGUGUUUUUUUGUGCGACUUAUAUAUAUUGAUUAGUUGUUUCUAUUUAUACGUUAUUCUUUGCAGAAUAUUCGCACAGCCUCAAAAUGUUUUUGUUUUAAUGGUCUGUUUGUGUAGAUUUUAGAGAUGUGCUUUCUCUAUUCUGUUUGGGUUUUAAAAUGUUUAACUCAUCAGACAUUUUUAUAGAUUUCAUUUCAACAUGUUAGAUGGGAUUAAAAGUAGGUGUUAAAAGAUUGCUUAAUUUUCACCUACUUAUAUUUUGGGACAUUUGCUAAAAACAACCCAAAUAUUCAAGUCAAAUCUAAAAGUGUACCCCACUUUCAGUCAAAUGCAAAACAAACCUAAAAGGGUAGUGAAAAUACUAGUUAACCCUUAUGACCAAACAAAAAAACAGAAAUGUAUUUUACGUUUCUAUCCUUCGGAAGUCUACACGUAAUAAAAGAAGUCUACAUAUAUAUAGAUUUCCUACGAUGUCUACCUUAUAGACUUAUUUUGUAGUCUACACUCUAAUUUGAUCUAAUAAUUUAAUUUUGAAAAUGUAUAAAAAUAAUUAUUGUGAUAUUUUUAACUAAUCAUCAAUAUAAUGGAUAAUAUGAACUAAAUAAAUUAAAAUUUCAUAUAAUUGAACAAUUUUGAAGAAUAUAUACUAAUUUGGUUAUCAUGUGUUAGACAAUGUUCAUAGUUUAGAAACAAAAUGUUCUUACAUGUUAUGUCUUUUAGUAGUUGAUUUCAUAGGGUUGGAUUUUAGAUUUUGUUUUUUUUAUUGUUUUGUUAUCUUAAAUCUGCAUAGUAAUGUUUAGUAGUUUAUAUUUUGUACAAUUGAGACUUUUUGAUUAUCAAGCAAAACAUUUAGCGUUUGAGAUUUGUGGUUUAGGGUUUAGGGUUUCGUAGACCUACAAUAAAGUCUAUUUAUCUGUAGACGUCCUUUUCAGUCUAUUUUAUUGGUAUUUACAAAAAAUCUUAAAUUUUAAAUUAAAUUUAGGGUAUAGUAGACGUCUUUUUGGUCUACUAGGAUACAAUUGAUUAAUUUAGGGUAUAGUAGACGUCUUUUUUAGUUUAAUAAGACCUGAAAUUACAAAAAAGAUUGAUUAAAUUUUGUUUUUAUGGAAACGGAAAUGAUAUCAUAUAUUAAACUUAUUAUAAAAAUAAAGAAAAAAUAAAUAAAUUAUAUAUAUAAAUAAAGAACAAAAAAUAAUUUAUAUAAAUAUAUAAAUAUAUAUAUAAAAAAUUGUAAUAGACAUACCGAUUGUAGACCUACUUGUGUGUCUACGGAACCGGAAACAAUUUAAUUUAACCAAAAUAAUAUAAUCUAACAAGUAUUAAACCAGAAAAGUUUUAACCUAACCGGAUAACUUUCCCGACAUAUAAAUACAAUUUUUAGUCUUCAUUUGGUAAAAAAAGACAAACCCUAGCGGCCGUUACUCUCUCUCUCUCUCUCUCUCUCGGGCGAUUUCCGGUGAAGUCAACCCGUUUCUGCCGCUUACACUGGUUGCCGUCCCGCUGCUGCUGCUAUAUCUUCCCUCUGUAAGAUCUGAGCCGGCGAAGGAACAUUGUGUAUGUAUGUCUCUCUAUCCAACUGUUGAGCUUUUGAAGGGCUUGAGAAAGAAGAGGGCCACCUCAAAACAACUAAUCACAACAAUAUUGUAACUUCAGCUCGUUCAACUUCUCUACUCUUUUCAAGAGAAAUCAUGAGUAGGCUAUAAGCAAUCUAGCUAGAGUAGUGAUGAUUCUUCUGCCAUAACCGGCAUUGACAGCUUGCUGGCAAGUGAGGUGCCUAUCGGUUAUCAGGCUGGGACUUUCACUUUAGAGGACUGACCUACAGUCCUGGCAUGGCUCGGUCUAGGCGUUUAAGAGAGAUUCUCCACCGGUUGUAGACUUCAAUAGCGAUCUUGAAACUCUCUGAGACGAGAAAAUUGCAAGAAGGCGGAAGCUUUGUAUCCACUGUCAAUACUGUAUCACAACCAACUGUUACGGACAUUGCAGCAUCAGUAUGUCUAUGGAGUUCUUGUAUUUUAAGCCAUGGCCACAUUCAUUGGCCAAGUCUAUGUUCUAUCGUUGAUUGCACUCUUUGUGGCCGCUUCAACUGCCCUGAUUGUGCAACCAUUUUUUGGCUAGAAUUGGAGGAUAUGAAGUUUUUGGUAAUAGGUGUUUGUAUUAUAUGCCUUUGUACUAGCUAUAUUGUAUUGUGCUUUUGUAUCACUGCUGUAUUAUGUAAUUUUCUUGGAUAUUCUGUACUGAAGUGUACUCGACCGAAAGUAGACUUGUUUAAUACAACUCCAAAUGAAUACAUCAAA